GGCAUCAUGUCCAUCUGCCUUUGGCCGUGUAAGCAAUUAAUGAAUGAGUGACACCAUGAGCGCGUCAGGAGACGAGCGGUCUAUGAUCCGGGCUGAGGACUGUGAGAAUUAGGGGAAAGUUCACAGCACAGAGAAUGCCCACAUUAUGGGUUGGAGGUUUUUUUUUUUGCCAGACAACCCACAGUGACCACAGAGAAGGAGGCGCGUUAACCCUUUCCUGUCUAAGUGGGUGAAAGGUAACUGGGCGACUGCUGACGGUGCUGAGAGGGGAAGCUCGGUUCAAAGGGACCGCAGGCCUCUCACGUAUGCGUCUGGAAUGCGACAAACAUGCCUUUUUUCCCCCUCAAAGCCUCGGCACGGAGGGAUUUCCACCGGGACGCCGUGUUCUGGGGUAAAAAUAGGCUUUUUCCCUUUGAACGGCGACUCGUGCGGGGUCAGCGCGGACGCCGUCGCCUGUGUUUGUUCAGACUGACAGACCUGCGUAUUAAACCCGGCUAUGACUCAGAUGCCUCCAGUUACAGUAAAGGGCGAUUACGCCGGAUCCAAACAUGUUCUCACACUUGUUUUUUACAGGUGGUGGAGGAGCGGCGACUUGGCAGAGCAGACAGACGCCUGCUGAUCAUCGUGAACCUCUCAGAGCGACGGGAGUUUAAUGAACCCGGAGCUUCGGGCCUUCACUUCCUGACGUGUGGCCCGAAGCCGGCAUCUUAUCAGCAGAGACGCUUCACAUUCGCGGAGCUCUACUCCUCUGCAUCCUGUCAUUCCAGAGCCCAUCAUCACCGGAUCCGCACCACAGCUGCUUGUUCAAUUUCCCGAAAUGGCCGCAUCUAUAUACAGCACGCUGACCUUUUACCCAGAUUGUACACAGAACAUCUGUAAAUCAGGGCUGCAUUCAAACGCAGCCGAGUACCGUGACAUGGUAAAGAAAAAAAAAAAAAAAGGACUACAGGGUUUUAUAUUGAAUGAUUCUUCCAAUUGAGUACAUUUAUUACCUUAGAAGAUGCUUAUAAAUAAAGAAUUUGUCUCCCUACA
RNAcentral lists this long non-coding RNA (1032 nucleotides) under Betta splendens (Siamese fighting fish). RNAcentral's name for it is "lncRNA (ENSBSLG00000026414.1)". The record is from RNAcentral. Lineage: Eukaryota; Metazoa; Chordata; Actinopteri; Anabantiformes; Osphronemidae.